RNAcentral lists this long non-coding RNA (11780 nucleotides) under Gossypium raimondii (Peruvian cotton). Its description in RNAcentral is "long non-coding RNA (GRAI_LNC002410)". Lineage: Eukaryota; Viridiplantae; Streptophyta; Magnoliopsida; Malvales; Malvaceae. The record is from RNAcentral.
GACCACGUAUUUAGGAACACCCUACUACCCUUUGGUAUGGUAUAGCCACCCACAGUGAGCGAUCGGGCUGAACAUCGGGGAACAAGGAGCGGCAAUACUGGAUGUAAUCGGAAGGUUUCCUUUAUCACUGCAUUUAGGUAUCUUAAAUUAGGCAAGUGAAACUCUUCAACAGUGUUGUUUACCCCAAUGACAUCAUUUAAUUCUUUCUUCACUUUCUCCAUUAUUUCUGGAUGUUGCAUCAGCUCUGACAUUGCCCACUCUGUUGAACCCGAAGUAGUAUCUGUUCCAGCCACCACAAUGUUCUAAUUUAAAAUACAUUAGCACCCAAGACAAGUAAAAGGAAGAAGAAAAAAAUAGGAUAGUUAAAAACAUAGAAACUUACUACUAGGAUACCCUUGAUUUGAUUCAUUGUAAGUGAUGAAGGGCUAUCUUGGUUCUUAUGUAAAUCCAAGAGCAUCUGUAACACAUCAGAUUUUUGUUCACCAGUUUCCUUCUUCAUUCUUUCUUCAAUCACUGAAUCCAAAAAUUCAUUGAACGAUUGACGGAUUUUCUUCAUUCCCCUCUCAAUGCCUUGUAUGUCAAACCAAGCAAUCGAUGGAAAAAUAUCGGAAAUGUUUGGUUUUCCCAAAAACACCAUUAUCUCUGCAAAAAUCUUUUUGAACUGACUCUCCACGAUAGUCCUUUGCUCUCCUUGGAUUUCGCCUCCCCACACCAUGUUGCCGAUCAAACUGGUUAACGUACGAAAUGCCAAUUCACCGACAUCAAUCAGCUUACCGACGUUUUCAUACACAUCCCCCACCAUUUCCAUCACUUUUUCUCGCCGUAGAUCAUAACAGGCAUUAAGAUUAGCGCUGCUAAGCAUAUCGGAUGCGAGAAUUUUGCGCUUGUGUUUCCAGCUGGGACUGCUGUAAGAGUCGAAUGCAAUAUCAUUAGUGCCGAAGGUAAUAAUCUGCGCAGCAAUGGGAGGUUCUCGCUCUGAAAAGGCUAUAUCAUGGUCACGAACCACUUCUUUUACAAGCGAUGGAGAGCUAAUUACUACGAUUAGCUUGUUUCCAAGCCAAAGUUUGUAGAUAGGACCGUAAACUCCGGCCAACUCCGUAAAGACCAGAUGGAGAUUAUCGAAUCCAAGAAAUGGAAGAUACCCCACUAUUGGCAACCCAAGGGGACCAGGCGGUAAUGGAGCCAUCGGUUUCCUUGCCUUUAGAAAUGGGUACCAGAGUGAAAGCCCCAACAUGGCAACCAGAAAUAGGAAAGCUGCUGGUAAGAAUCCAUCUUUCUGGUUGCCACCAUUCAACAGCCAUGAAAGAAAGCUGUAAGCUGUUUGGAACAUCUUUUUCGCUUUUGUGAGGAAAACCAGGAAAUUUUUACACUGAGAUUUACCCGGUAAGUGCAGUGCCUACUAAGAAGUGACCAUACUUUAUAGUACUAAAAUAGCUGUUUGGUAAUUUAUUUUGUUUUUUUUAAAUUCAUUUUCAAUUUAAUUUAAUUUAUGCAAGAAUUUAUAAAUGAACUUAAAAUAUUUAUAUAACAUAUUUCGGUGAAUUAUUAAUUUGAUUUAGUUGAUUAAUUGAAAUAUGCUGACCCAAAAUUUUAAAAAACUUCUAAUCGAUCCCUGUCUUUGCUGCUGUUGAUGAUGAUGUUCCUCUUGCAUCCUUUGUUCCUCAAAUCGCAAGAAAGCGGACAAAGAGACUUAUUACAGCAAAACUCUAUUUUGUCUCUUUCCUUAAUAAGAAGACUUAUUACAGCCAAACUGAAGAAGCUUUCUUCUUAGUUUAUCUCCAUCUUAUCUCUUUCCUUUCCUUGAUAAGAAGACUUAUAUAUUAAUGUCUUUGCUUACAGAUUUUGUAUGAUUAUUCAGUAAAUGAACUUAUUUGAGUGUAUAAUUAAAUGGUUCUAAAUUUUCAUUGAAAAUGUACUAAUGAGAAAGUGUUAGUAUAUUAUUAUGAGAUAUUAUCUUUUAGUAAUUUGAUUUCUAUGUAAUUAUUAUAUAUACUCUUGAGACUUAUCAAUAAAAUUUAAGAGAUUACCCCAUCCUCCACCACCACCAGUUCUUCAUUGCUUUUGAAAAGUGCUUUGAAAAGUUUGGUUUAAAAUUUGAGUGUUUAGCAUUGCUGUCAAAAAGUGCUUUUGAGAAAUAAAAUGUCCAUUUUAGAUAUGUUAUUGUCAAGUAACAAAUAUGCAUUUAAAUAAUAUUUAAAUUAGUUAAUAUUAUUAUAUUUUAGUAAGAAUAUAAAAAAUUUAUUAUAACUUGUUGUUAAUAUUUUAAUAUAUGAAAUAUAAAUUUUAAAUAUUUUUAAGCAAUAAAUAAUAAUUAUUUAUAAAAUUUAAUUAGAAUAUAUAAACUAUAUUUUAAAUAUUUAAAUAUAACCAUUAAAUAUUUGUAAUUAGUAUUUUUUUUAAAAUAUUUUUUUUAUUUUUAAUUAAUGAUUUUAACACAAUUGUAAUUAAACACCAAGAAAAAAAAUAAAAAUACCAUGUUAUUGGAGGGAUGAAAAAAUAAUUAAGCACCAAAAGUGCUUUUGGGAGAGGAAAAACUAAAAUUUUUAGCUUCUCCUUUUCAGCUCCUUUUCAGAAGUGUUUUUCAAAAGCAGUUCUGAAAAGCUAAAAAUUUCAGCCAAAAGCAGCUUGUUCUUCACAGCUUUUCUUUCAAAAGUGCUUUUGGAGUCAGAAGUGUUUUUUUUAAGCAAUGAAGAACUGGAGUCUUGAUGUCUAUCAAUAAAAUUUAAGAAAUUACCCUAGUCUUGUCAAAAAGUGUUCAUUUUUAAAAUUUUACGAGAGUGAAGUUACAACAAGCGUGAAUAAGCUUAAGCUUAAAUCAUAUUUUAUGUUGUUAAGACUAUAAUGAAUUAUUUAGUAGACAUGACCUCAUAAACAUAAAAUUGGAUCUAAACUACGUAACCAAUUAAUUUUAUUCAUCAUUUUACUUCUCCAUUACUUUUUUUAAUUUUUAGUGUUUUCUUAAGUUGCAACUAACAUAUAGCUUAACCUGUCAUUCAACACUUUCAUAAUUAUAAUUAUUAAUAAUGUUCUUCUCACCGACUAAUGGCGAAACUAGGGGGGCUGGCAGGGCCUGGCCCUGGCCCCGGCCCCCCUAAAAUGAUUUUUUUUCAUACGAUCCCUUUAAAAUUUUUAAAAUUUUAAAUUAAUAAAGGUAAAAUUACCCUUUGCCCCUUUAAAAAUAUAAAAAAUUGAUUUUUUUUCUAUCGUAAAAGUUACAAUUUAAUUUUGGCUCUCCCUAAAAAAAUUUUCUAGUUUCGCCCCUGUCAUCAACCUUAUGUUAAUAUUAAAAAAAUAUAUAUAUAGAUCUAAUACAUUUGUUUAAUUUUUUUAUAACAAAUAAUUAAUAAAAAAUAAUUACAACUGUGUUAAUAAAACUUUUUUUUUUAUCAAAAUAGAUAGGUUUCAAGUUUCUUUAGGGUAAAAAUUUAUUAAUCAAUAUAAAGUGAUUAGAAUUAUUUUAUUUUAUUAAUAAUAUUUUCAUUAUUAGUGUUACGAUUACUAACUUCGAAUGCAUACUAAAUUACACUUAUAAACAUGUAUUACUACAACAAAGAUACAUACAAAUUAUUCAUUUAAAAGUUCAAAAUAACCUUAUUUUUAAUGCAUUGAUAAUACAACUAAUUUAUUUACACCCAUUUUGUAGAUAUUAAAAUAAUAAAAAAUAUGGAUGUGCAACAUUUUCAUAUUUUUUUAAUUAUAUUUAAUUACAAUGAUGUUAAGCAUGAUUUGAGUUCUUUAUAAUAAAUAAUUAAAAAUAUAUACUCACGUGCAAUGCAGGUGAGUUUGAAACUUUCCAAGAAACUUUUGAAGAAAUAAAAAUAACAUUUUAGUUAUUAUUAUUAUUAUUAUUAUAUUUAGAAGUAGAAAAGUGUUUUAUUAAGUUUGAAAUUACCGUCCGUUGGAAUUCGUGUUGCUUUUGUUACUAUUUAAAUUACUUAUUCAAUUUUGACUUAGACUUAUAUUUUAAUAAUAUAUAAAAUUACUAAUUGAGUCUUAUCUAAGUAGGUAUUGAUAUUGUAUCGAGUGCAAGAAAACAUGAGUUUGAAUACGUUGAAACACGCUAUUUUCUUAUUUAAGGGUUGGGAGAGACUAUAAGUAAUUUUAAGCAUUGUAUAAAAAAAACAAAAAUUAAGAAUAAUAAACACAUAAACUCGUAAAAAAAUUAUUGAAAAAAAUACAAAUGAUAAAUUUGAAAGUUCUUUUUAUAAUUGUUAUAGAAUUCAACAUCGUAUGUUCAUAGAAUUUUCAAAGGAAAAAUAAAAAACGUUGUCAUCAAGUUUGACCAAAUCAAGAUUCUACAUGCUAUUUCAUCCUCAUGGAAUUCAAUUAAAUCAAAACCAAAUAUUUAUACAUACAAUUAACGUUGAAAUUAACACUAAAUUAUACAUUACACACUAAAUUAACGUUGAUAUAUGAAUAUAAUAUUAACCCUUUUCAAUAAAAUGGAAAAUAGAAAUUGCUGUUAAAUUCUACCCCAUAGAAAAUAAUGACAAACCAAAUUUGAAGAAAAAAGUAAAUUUCUCCUUGAAUAAUAUUGGAGUUCAAACAAGGUGGCUGGAAAGUAUUAUCCAAAUUUCUUAUUUUGCAGAAAUAAGCAACGAAGUUGUAACGCAAUCAAUAUAAUAUAUUAUCAAUAAGUAUUGUCGAUUGAAUCUUAAAUCGAUUGAUAUUAAUAAUGUUUUAGGCAUUAUACCAAAUAUAUAUGUCAGUAUAAGAGUCAAAAUAUAUUUUAGCCCGAAAAAAAUUAAUAGUGUAGAGCCGUAGUCCACAAUACUGACUUAUUUUGUUUUCAUUCAACCCUCAAUACUGACAUCACUACAGAAGAAAACAAACCAAAAAUAUUUAUAAAGUUAAGAAGAUGAGUUUUAACUGGAAGUGUUGGGCAGGUUGGUGCCGGCAAUGGAACACCAUUGUUCUGGUGCUGCCAUUCCUAUAUCCUUUGGGGCCAACGUAAGAGAUUGAAGAAGCCCCCAUAAAAUAAUGGUUUAAUAUUGGACUUUUAGUCCAAAUGAUAGUAGUAAUAAUCAUCAUUUAUGUCCUAAUAUACGGUCAGUCCAUAUUUGGAAAGAUAGAUUCCGCUGCCUUGAAUUGACUACACUACACAGUGACGCACAUGGCAGACCCCAAGUGUCCCCUCCCACCAGUUUUUUUUGGGCAAAUUACACAUAAAAGCCCUAUUUUUUUAAAAUUUACCGAAAUGGGCCCAGUAAAUAACUAUUUACCUGAAUGGGCCCAUUUCCCCGAAAGCACGUCCACGUCAGCGCGAUGUCAGGGUACGUGACAGGAAAACGCUCCCUCAAGGAUGCGUUUUGCCCGUUUUUGGGUUUUAAAGUUUAGGGUUUUAGGGUUUAGGAUUAAAAAUUAAAUAAAUAAGGGAUUAGAGUUUACAGUAGAGGUGUUCAUGUGUCGGGCAGGGCCUGAUUCGGGCUAGGCCCAAAAAAUUUUUGGCCCUCUUCCUAGGCCCGGGCUCGGCCCAGCCUAAAAUAUGGGCCUAAAAUUUUGUCCAGGCCCGGUGCGGGAAAAAGUUUCUAAGCCCGAGCCUGGCCCGCCCAGACCCAUUUUUAAUAAACACCAAAAAAUUACUUUAAAUAUAAAAAGAAUAAAAAAUAUUUUUAAAAUAUUUUAAAAUUAAAGAAUAAAAAUAUUUAUUUAUUAUAUAUUCGGGCCGGGCCGUUUCGGGCUCAAGCCAAAAAUGUGGUGCCCGAGGCCCAGCCCGUUUUCUAAAUGGGCCUCGCUUUUUUGCCCAAACCCAUAUUUCUGGCCUAUAUUUUUACCUAAACCCUCCCAUAUUUUUUGCCCGGCCCAUGAACACCUCUAAUUUAGGGUUUGUCAAUUAAAUUAUUAAAAAAAUUCAAAACUGGAUUAGUUUUUCGUGUUUAUUAUUUUUUAAAAAAAAAUCAAUUAAAUUAGGGUUUACGGUUACUUGAGUAAUUUAAUUAAAAAUAUUUUCAAAAUUAGAUUAGGAUUAGGGUUAGGGUUAGGGUUAGGGUUAGGGUUAGGGUUUAGGGUGUUUUUAAGUUAAGGGUUUUUAAGGAAAAAUCAAAUAAAUUAGAGUUUAGAGUUUAGGGUUUGUCAAUUAAAAUAUUUAUAAGUUUUUUGAAAUUGGAUUAGUUUUCGUGUUUAUUAUGUUUUAAGAAAAAAAUAAUUAAAUUAGGGUUUAGGGUUACUUGAGUAAUUUAAUUAAAAAAUUUUAAAAAUUAGAUUAGGGUUAUGGUUUAGGGUGUUUUUAAGUUAAGGGUUUUUAAAAAGAUCAUAUAUUAUUUAUAUUUUUUAAAUCGAAAAUUGGUACAAAUAUUUAAAAUAUUAACUUAUUUAAAAGAAAAUCUAUUUUAUUAAAAAUAUUAAAGUAAAUUACAAUUACUUUAUUCAAAACAAUAUUUUAUUUUAUUAAAUGAAAUAAUAUAGAAAUAUUCAACAUACUUAUUUAAAAGAAUUUCUAUUAUAUUAAAAAUGUAAAAGUAAAUUUCUAUUUUAGUACGAAGUGUACAAAUAUAGAAGAAUUUCUAUUUUUUUCACAUCAAAUAACAUCAAAAUAUUCAAAAUGUUUGUACAAAUAUAUUAAAAUAAAAAUCAAUCUUUGUGCACGCCAGAUUUAGUGCCACAUGGCGGCCGUCGAUGGUUACGCGCUGGAUUCCUCCUUUGUCUAGCUUUCGGCAGGGUUGUGGUUACUCCAGCGAGGAUUCUGGUUCCUCCGAUAGGGUAUCUGGUUGUCGGUGUUGGGACGAUAAGCCACCUUGAUAGAAUAGUGACUGUGGAGGUGUUUGCAUCACCAACGGCGAAGCUGUUUGAAACCCAUACGGUGAUGGAGAUUGGUAAAAAGAAGAGCUCCCUGACGGCCCCUCUUGCGAUCCUUCGUGCGACGCAGGUAUAUACAUCGGCGGUCCACUCGGCGUAACGGAAAAUGGAGAUGAACCGGACCAUGGACUCUAACCUGCCAUAGGACUCGGAAAAGGAAACAUAUAAGGGAUAGGAUAUAUAAAAGGGUUAGGAUACGCACCUAGCAUCAUCGGAAAAGGCUGUGCCGUGGGCAUCAUCAGUUGAACUGCUGGGUCGGGUGACUGUGUCGGUGCUCUCGCUGGGCCUGGUGAUUGAAUGGCCGUUGAUGAUGGGCUGGGUGAAUGUCUGGGCCUCGUUGAUGGGCCUGCGUCGUCGUCCCUUCGUCUUGGAUUUAAAGGCCCACGUCGUUCCCUUUGGACAUGUAAUUGCAGUUGCCUCUCCUCUGCCGACAGUAAAUACAGCUUGCCAUGGAUCCUAAACCAUGGCAUGUAUUCUGGCACGCACGCUAACUCUGGAACGAUGACCGGUUCCUGAAUAGGCAUAUAAUCAUACCGAUCUUCCUACAUUUGGAUGUAGUACAACCAAAAUCUCAGCUAAUCUGUAUGCAAUUGUCGUAGGUCGAUUUUGUGAUGAUCAUCAAACACCUCAGGUGCCACGGGAAUCGGUUGUCUACAUCCAAAUUGCCGUAAUACUUUGUCUGACUGGUGCAUCUCCACGGUCACAUAGUUGACCAAUAGUACUUUCGCAUGCCAAGCAUUCUGAUUUUGGAGGUACUCAUCCGGAAUUACUGCCCGAAUUGUUGGAUCCUCGUAUGGUGUCCAUUGAAACUAUAUGAACAUGAUGGAAAUAUUAGUUGUAUACAUAAUACAUAAUAAUAUAUACUAAAUACUAAAUGCCAAUCAACUAGCUCAUGAUGGAAAUAUCAAUUUUAUUUAAUACUUACUUGUACUUCCGACUGUUGGUCUAAUAGAAGCCGUAUAUCUUCAAGAGAGGUAGGUAAUCGAGCAUAACUUGCCGGAUGGUUCCACCUAAUUAAAUAAAUUUUUAGCAUACUAUUAUUUUUAAAAUCUACAUAAUAAUUGUAAAAUCUAAUAUAAAAUUUACCUCAUUAUGAGUGGGAAUGUAUAUGGGUGGUCCACUCGAGGACAUAAAAAUGGAAAGCGAAACCGUGCCCAUGACUGCAGUAGUGACAGGCAACCUCCGAUUUUUACUUUACUCGGUCACGUCACCCCACACAUCUCCUGAUAUAAUGUUGCCAACACGGCAGACCCCCAACUCAAUUCACUAGUUACUCUAAAAUCAACGAGUUUCAGCAGCCAUCGUAGAUGUACGAGGUUCCGUGACAAGUCCGGCAUCAGAUAACCUCUAAUUAUCUGAAGAAUAUAUGCCCGAGCAUAUCGGAUUCUAUCUACUUUGGUUGAAUCAUCAUCUAGAUCCGGGAAUGUGUCUCGUAACUAGCCCAUCUCGAUCCGACCUCCGUUAAUUUUCUUCGGAAUAGCUCCCAAAAUCUCGUAGUACACUGCUCCUCAAUCGCCAGAUUGAACAUACCCGGUGACUAGGUACCCAUCCACCGGUAAUCCCAAUUGCAGAUUGACAUCUUCCAAAGUGAUAGUGCACUCUCCACAUGGAAGAUGGAAUGUGUGCGUCUCAGGUCUCCACCUCUCAAUCAACGCACUGAUAAGUUUCGAGUCCAACUUGUAUCCUCGGCCUACCGUCGCCACGUGCCAAAAACCCGCUUCCCGCAGGUGAUUCUCUACCAACGGUGAUGGAGGAUCAUGCAUAUUAUCGAUAUAGCAUUCCAAUAUCCGAUCUAUAGACUUUUAUAACAAAUAAUAAAUUAAUAAUUAUUUAAAAAUGCAUAAAUAAAAAAAUCUUAAAUAAUAUUUAAAAAAUAAAUUUAACACUUACCAUUUUCAUUUGUUCGACGGAUAUGUGCUUGUUAUCAAGACGAAUCAAUUCUCCGGCCAUUGCUAAAUUCGUACAAAUUUUUACAAUUUAAAAAAAUUUAAAAAAAAUAGAAUUUUUUAAAAAUAAUUAAAAAAUAGGGAUUUAAGAGAAAUUUGAGAGCAAAUUGAGAGGACAUUGAGGUGUUGUUGAGAGAAUAAUAGAGAAAUGAUUAAUUUCUGGAAAAAAAAAUGAAGGGGUGGGGGUUUUUAUAGUUUUUUUUACCGUUGGGGAGUUCACCAACAGUCAAAAAAUAGCCGUUGCACUGUUCACGAGCGGGGAAAACGCGUCCCUAGGGACGCGCUAAUGUGGCAGGAAAAUGCGUCCACGUCAGCGCGCUUUCUGUCCAUGUGGACAAAGCGCACCCUUGAGGGCGCGUUUUGUUGCCUUGUCAGCAGAUAGCGCCUUGACGUGGACGCGUUUUCUCGGUAUGGGCCCAUUCCUGUAAAUAAUUAUUUACCGGGCCCAUUUUGAUAAAUUUUAAAAAAUAGGGCUUUUUUUACAAUUUGCCCAAUUUUUUUAAUAACAAAAUAACAAGUACGCCAUGCUUUAUUAAUUCUCUUUGUUAUAGUUUCUUCAAAAUUUCCCCUCUAACCAUGGCAUAAAAUAAUAAUAAUUUUUACCUAUUUCAUUUUCUUUUAAGGUGAUUAAUAUUUGUUUUCAUAACCAGGUUAAGUUGGGUAUGUGUUAAUUCGUGUUGAAAUCAAUUUUUUAGUCCGGUUGAAUGGAACCGUUUCGAUUCUUUAUUUAAUCAGUUCAAAGUCUUUUAAAUUAGUACUCCAAUCGACUCUUGAUUCAAUUGAUUUAGAUAAUAUUAGGACAAAUUAAUUUAAUGUUAUAGAGUGUAUCAUAAUUACUAAAACAUAUUUUUAGAGAACUAAAACUUUUAAAAAUAUCAUAAAUCAUAAACUCGUUUGUUUCACAUCAUUUGAUAUUAUAGAAAAUUAAAUAUAGUUGUUUUAUGUUGAAAGUUAAAUAUUGUACGAUAUUCAUAAAAAUAAAAGAAGAUAAAAACUAGUUUAACUAAUUUUUUUAAUCUGGUUCGUACCAGUUUCUCCUCAAUUGGUUUGAAGCCUUUCUCUAAACAAUAUUAUGCCUAUCAAUUCUCGGUCUAACCGAUUUGACAGACUAAUUUAGUUCAAAUAAAUAUGAUAUUUUGAAUUUUUUUGAAGUGGAGAAGAGAAUGAGAUAAUAAAUUAAAUUUAUUUUUAAUUAAUAGAAAUUAAAGGAGAAUUGAAAAAAAUAAUUUAAAUUAUUUUUCAAUACGUGUGGUGUAAUAUGAUUGGUAGUUGAAACAUGUGGUAUAAUUUGAUUUGUUGAGAUGAAAACUUAACGAGUGUUAGUUAUAUACUAAAAAGAAGUACCAAUUUAACUUACAGUUUGUAAGUUUAGGUAUUUGUUAGGUCCAAAAAAAGCUAAAUGCCAAGUAGGUACAUAUUGCCAAGUUUAAUAAUAGUAUAUUGUUGCUGAACGAGUGUGUGUGCUUAACUUAGCUGGUAGCAGGAUCAACCGAAAAGUACUAAAAUGCUGUUCAUAUAGAAUAUAAGUUACAUUGCAGUGUCGGCAUAAAAAAAAUAUUAUUUAUCCCCGACCCAAUCAACAAGCUAGAGGUGCUCAUGGGCUAGGCCGGGCCUAGAAAAAAUUUUGGCCACGUCCUAAGCCCGGCCCGAAAUAUGGGCCUAAAAUUUUGUCUAGGCCCAGCUCGAGAAAAAUUCCUAAGCCCGAGCCCGGUCCGGCCCUUUUUUAAUAAACACUAAAAAUUUAUUUUAAAAAUAAAAAAUAAAAAAGUAUUUUAAAACUAUUUUAAAAUUAAAAAAUAAAAAUAUAUAUUUAUUAUAUUCGGGCAGGGCCAGGCCCGGCCAAAAAAGUGGUGCCUCCUGAGGCCCGGCCUGUUUUCUAAACGGGUAUCUUUUUUUUGCCCAAACCCAUAUUUUGGGCCUAUAUUUUUACCCGAACCCUCCCACAUUUCGAACGGGACGUCGGGCUGGGCCGGGCCGCCUAGCCCAUGAGCACCUCUACACAAGCAAUAAUUACACAGUGAUGAACUUUGGUGCUGACCAUCGGAGUGUCGGCAUUGCCCAACAUUAUAGAUUACAGGUCAUUUUCGUUAUAGGUUUUGAAUCUAAGUCAUUUUCGUAAAUAAAAAAUUUUUCGGGUCAUUUUUGAAAAAAAAAGUCUUACUUAGAUCUUUUAAUUUCCUUCAAAUCAGUAUAUUAUGAGUGCAAAAUAGAGGGUUGUAGCUCAAAUUAUGAUAAAAAUACUAAAGUUACAGUAUGUGAAAGUCUCAGCUGUAAAACUUGCCAAAAAUAAACUUUAAACUUUUUUUUCUCAAAUUAUUCCCUAAAUUAAUAAUAGAUAAAAUAUAAGUAUAAAUAAUAUAAUUAUUAACAAAACUAGCAUAAGGUGAAAAAUAUGACUGAUAAAUAGAGAAAUUGGACAAUUAUCAAUAGUUUACGAUUUUCUUUUGUAUAGCUCAAGAUUAGUUGUGGGAAUCAGGUGUAAAGGGUUCUUUUUACCCAUAAUGAUUCCAAAUUUACCAGAAAGGUCAACCUUUUCGUCUUGGGGCAAUUUCCACUCAAAAGAAUGCAGCAAUGGGGCCAAUAUGAAAGAUAACAUCUUCUCCCCCAAGUUAAUGCCUGGACACUUUCUCCUUCGGGACCCGAACGGCAAAUAUCAAAAAUCAUUUCCACGGAAAUCUAAUUUUCCAGGCUCAUUUAAAAACCUCUCAGGUUGAAAUUCCAUAGGAUUGUCCCAAAUAUUAGGGUCCCUGUGAAUGGAGCACGUAUUUAGGAACACCCUACUACCCUUUGGUAUGGUAUAGCCACCCACAGUGAGCGAUCGGGCUGAACAUCGGGGAACAAGGAGCGGCAACACUGGAUGUAAUCGGAAGGUUUCCUUUAUCACUGCAUUUAGGUAUCUUAAAUUAGGCAAGUGAAACUCUUCAACAGUAUUGUUUACCCCAAUGACAUCAUUUAAUUCUUCCUUCACUUUCUCCAUUAUUUCUGGAUGUUGCAUCAGCUCUGACAUUGCCCACUCUGUUGAACCCGAAGUAGUAUCUG